Molecule: long non-coding RNA, 330 nt
Filed under: Mytilus galloprovincialis (Mediterranean mussel)
Lineage: Eukaryota; Metazoa; Mollusca; Bivalvia; Mytilida; Mytilidae
Source: RNAcentral
UCAUGACAUUAAUUCCAGGAAUAGAUAAAUAUCUACCCCACUUCUAUUAUUUCACCAUGCCAUCUUAUUCUAGUUCGUUGUUAAUUAUCAUUGAAACUGCAAAAAAAUCAGCGCUUAUAAUUGAUUGGGCAACGAUUACACCAAGUAGAAUUACAGAAAUACAAGAACCUGUAAAAUUUUACAGUAAAUUCUCCAUGUUUACAAUAACCAUUAGCCAGGGAAGGCAUGAAGCAAAAACAACCAACGAGUCGUCCUUUGGAUUGUGGAUUUAUGGUACCAAUGAUUGAUUUGCAUUUCCUGCAGGGUAUCGCGUAAGUUAAACAUAAAACC